RNAcentral lists this ribosomal RNA (492 nucleotides) under uncultured bacterium. RNAcentral describes it as "partial 16S ribosomal RNA". It matches the Rfam family "Bacterial small subunit ribosomal RNA", at positions 29 to 507 of the family's 1533-position model. The record is from RNAcentral.
AGUGAACGCUGGCGGUAGGCCUAACACAUGCAAGUCGAACGGCAGCACAGUAAGAGCUUGCUCUUACGGGUGGCGAGUGGCGGACGGGUGAGGAAUACAUCGGAAUCUACUUUUUCGGGGGGGAUAACGUAGGGAAACUUACGCUAAUACCGCAUACGACCUACGGGUGAAAGCAGGGGAUCUUCGGACCUUGCGCGAUUGAAUGAGCCGAUGUCGGAUUAGCUAGUUGGCGGGGUAAAGGCCCACCAAGGCGACGAUCCGUAGCUGGUCUGAGAGGAUGAUCAGCCACACUGGAACUGAGACACGGUCCAGACUCCUACGGGAGGCAGCAGUGGGGAAUAUUGGACAAUGGGCGCAAGCCUGAUCCAGCCAUACCGCGUGGGUGAAGAAGGCCUUCGGGUUGUAAAGCCCUUUUGUUGGGAAAGUAAAGCAGCAGGUUAAUACCCCGCUGUUCUGACGGUACCCAAAGAAUAAGCACCGGCUAACUUCGUG